This is a non-coding RNA of Candidatus Peregrinibacteria bacterium, 3747 nucleotides long. Lineage: Bacteria; Candidatus Peregrinibacteriota. The record is from Rfam.
AACAAGUUACUUAAAAGCAGAAAGUGGAUGCCUCGACUUCAAACUCCGACGAAGGACGUAGCUAGUUGCGAUAAGCUUCGGUGAGCCGCUAAGCAGGCAAUGACCCGGAGAUUUCCGAAUAGGGUAACCUUUAGUCAGUCAUGUGACUAAAUAAUAUGCAAAAUUCAUAUGCAUAUUAAGGCGACCUAGCGAACUGAAACAUCUUAGUACCUAGGGAGGAGAAAUCAAUAGAGAUUCCCUUAGUAGUGGCGAGCGAACAGGGAACAGCCUAAACCCUGCCAUACGUGGCAGGGGGUUGCAGGACCUCAAUAUGAACUUUAUUUCUGUUAGCCAAAGCAUCUGGAAAGUUGCACCAUAGAGGGUAAUAGUCCCGUCGGCGAAAACAGGGUAAAGUUCUAGAGUGUUCCUAAGUAAGGUCGGACACGUGUAAUCCGGCCCGAAUCUGGGAGGACCAUCUUCCAAGGCUAAAUAGGUUUGAAGAUCAAUAGUGAACAAGUACCGCGAGGGAAAGGUGAAAAGCACCCCGGUGAGGGGGAUGAAAUAGAACCUGAAACUUUUUGCUUACAAAGAAUCGGAGCUUGGCGCAAGCCUUGUGACGAUGUACUUAUUGGAGAAUGGGCCAACGAGUUAACUGUACGGCGCGUUAGGUUAAGGGAAUUAUACCCGAAGCCAUAGUGAAAGCGAGGGUGAAUAACCCGUUAAGUGUCGUGCAUUAGACCCGAAACUGAAUGAUCUAUCCAUGGCCAGGUUGAAGGUUGCCGAGAGGCGACUGGAGGACCGAACCAACCAGUGCUGCAAAACUGGUGGAUGAGCUGUGGAUAGCGGCGAAAAACCAAACGAAUUCAGAGAUAGCUGGUUCUCCUCGAUAUAGCUUUAGGGCUAGCCUUGUACUAAUUUCAGCAGGGGUAGAGCUCUAUUUAGGCUAGGGGACGAAAUAAGUCUACCAAACCUAGAUAAACUUCAAAUACUGCUAAAAAAUUCUACAGGAGUCGGACUAUGACAGCUAAGUGCCGUAGUCGUGAGGGUAACAGCCCAGAUCACCAUCUAAGGUCCCUAAUAAAGUCUAAGUGGAAAAGGAUGUAAAAUUGCGUAUACAGCCAGGAGGUUGGCUUAGAAGCAGCCAUUCCUUUAAAGAGUGCGUAACAGCUCACUGGUCUAUGUGAUUUUGCGCCGAAAAUAUAACGGGGCUCAAGGCUUUAACCGAAGAUGUGAAUGGCUCAGCAUUCGUGCUGGGUCGUGGUAGAGGAGCGUUCCUGUCAGCGUCGAAGCUUCGUCGUUAGGCGGAGUGGAGCGUCAGGAAGUGAGAAUGUUGGCAUAAGUAACGUGUAUGUCAGAUGAAAAAUCUGACCACCGAAAACCCAAGGUUUCCCAAGCAACGUUAAUCGGCUUGGGGUUAGUCGAUCCUAAGGCGAGACCGAAAGGUGUAGUCGAUGGAUAACAGGUUAAUAUUCCUGUACAAUUUAAUUUUCGACAGAGCAAUACUUGAGGGACAUGAAACUAACUUUUGAUGGCUUCGGCUUGAUAAAGAAGGUUUUGUAGACUGAUAGUGGCGCUAGCUAAGGGGGGACGCAGCAGGAUAUCUGGAGCGUGUUAACGAAUUCACGUGCAAAUUGUUAGUCUAUGUUCUACACAGGAAAAUCCGGUAGGAUUCGCGAGCAAUGAUGCAAAAUGUCCGGCCUUUGGCUGGAUGAUUCCAGAGAGUUCAGCUGUCAAGAAAAUCCUCGUAGCGAGACAAUUAAAUUUUCGUACCGCAAACCAACGCAGGUGGGUGCCCUUAGUACGGGAAGGUGAUCGAGAAAACUAUUGCUAAGGAACUCGGCAAAACAACAGGUGUAACUUCGGGAUAAACCUUCCCUCUCUUUUAGAGAGGGCGCAGCGAAAGACUUCAUGCAACUGUUUAUCAAAAACACAGGUCUCUGCAAACCCUUACGGGGAUGUAUAGGGACUGACGCCUGCCCAGUGCCAGAAGGUCACGAGGAGGGGUGUAUGCUCUGAAUCUAAGCCCUGGUGAACGGCGGCCGUAACUAUAACGGUCCUAAGGUAGCGAAAUUCCUUGUCGGGUAAGUUCCGACCCGCACGAAUGGCGUAAUGAUGUGAAGACUGUCUCGGCAAUAGACUCGGUGAAAUUGCAGAACUGGUAAAAAUGCCAGUUAAUCAUGGAAAGACGAAAAGACCCCGUGCAGCUUUACUAUAGCUUGACAUUGGUUCUGUGUACAACUUGCGCAGGAUAGGUGGGAGACUUCGAAGCUUUGUCUUUGGACAGAGUGGAGUCGCCGUUGAGAUACCACCCUUGUUGUACUUAGGAUCUAACUUAUAACCGUAAUCCGGUUUAAGGACAGUGUUUGGUAGGUAGUUUGACUGGGGCGGUCGCCUCCUAAAGAGUAACGGAGGCGCGCAAUGGUUCCCUAGGCCUGGAUGGAAAUCAGGCUGAUAGUNNNNNNNNNNNNNNNNNNNNNNNNNNNNNNNNNNNNNNNNNNNNNNNNNNNNNNNCAGGUGAUAAUGAUCCGAUAGUGGCAUGUGGGUGCGCUAUCGCUCAACGGAUAAAAGUUACGCCGGGGAUAACAGGCUUAUAGCUUCCAAGAGUUCAUAUCGACGAAGCUGUUUGGCACCUCGAUGUCGGCCCGUCCUAUCCUGGAGCUGGAGAAGGUUCCAAGGGUUUGGCUGUUCGCCAAUUAAAAGGGUACGCGAGCUGGGUUCAGAACGUAAAUAACAUUGCGUUCUAUCCGAGUAAUCGGAUACAAUAAAUCUGACUAAAAUCGGUGAAACCCUCUUUCAGUUUCGAACGCUGAAAAGGGUAACCCCGAGGGUAAGCCAAAAUUAUUGUGAUUGAUAAAGAAUUAGCUUAUAUUGCAGGUUUUCUUGAUGGAGAUGGAUGUAUAAUGCUUCAAUUGGUAUAUAGACAUGAUUAUGUNNNNNNNNNNNNNAUACGAGCAAGUAUUGUCUUCUAUCAAAAACAGCAAAAUAAGUUUUUUCUGGAGUGGUUAAAAAAUAAAUUUAAUAAUUAUGGAUAUAUUCGCAACAGACCUGAUAAUAUGAGUGAAUAUACCAUUGUCGGAAUGAAGCAAGUGUCUGAAAUAUUAAAUCUAUUAAACCCAUUUCUUAUUCUUAAAAAGCGACAAGCUGAAAUUGCUUUGUCUGUCAUUCGAAAAAUGCCAGGAAAGGGUAAAAAAAUGAAUGCGGACUUGUUGCUUGGUUUGGCUCGAGAAGUAGAUAAAUUUUCUUAUUUGAAUUAUUCAAAGAAGAGAACAAAUACUUCCGUCAAAGUUAAAGAAUUUUUACAAUUACAUAAUGUUGGAUCCCGUAGAGACUGAUCCCUAGGCUUGGUUUAGUCGCCAAGAGUAAGGUGAGAAUAUUUUUUAUUAAGAAUAUUCAUAUGUCAGCUCCUAGAUUAGUUAAUGACUUUGAUCUAGGAUGAAGGUAUAGUCCAUGCCUUUAGAAAUAAAGGAUUAGCAUGCGUGAGACAGUUCGGUCUAUAUCUUCCAUGAUCGUUGGAUUCUUGAAGGGAUGUUGCUCCUAGUACGAGAGGACCGGAGUGAACGAACCUCUAGUGUAUCUGUUGUCGCGUCAGCGGCAUGGCAGAGUAGCUAGGUUCGGUUGGAUAACCGCUGAAAGCAUCUAAGUGGGAAACCAUCCCCAAGAUUAGGAAUCCUUAUAGCCUCCCCGUAGACUACGGGGUUGAUAGGCUGCAGAUGUAAGCACGGUGACGUGUUGAGUCGAGCAGUACUAAUAGGCGAUUAUAUUUGUUUC